UACGUAGGGGGCAAGCGUUGUCCGGAAUCAUUGGGCGUAAAGAGCGUGUAGGCGGUUUGGUAAGUCCGCUGUGAAAGUCCAGGGCUCAACCCUGGAAUGCCAGUGGAAACUGCCAAGCUAGAGUCCGGAAGAGGCGAGUGGAACUCCUGGUGUAGCGGUGAAAUGCGCAGAUAUCAGGAAGAACACCAAUGGCGAAGGCAGCUCGCUGGGACGGUACUGACGC
Molecule: ribosomal RNA, 223 nt
Filed under: uncultured prokaryote
Description: partial 16S ribosomal RNA
Rfam family: Bacterial small subunit ribosomal RNA
Source: RNAcentral